Molecule: ribosomal RNA, 209 nt
Filed under: Campylobacter helveticus
Lineage: Bacteria; Pseudomonadati; Campylobacterota; Epsilonproteobacteria; Campylobacterales; Campylobacteraceae
Description: partial 23S ribosomal RNA
Source: RNAcentral
CGCGGAAAAUAUAACGGGGCUAAAGUAAGUACCGAAGCGGUAGGCUUGUGCUUAGUUAAAUUCUUUGAUAUUUUAUCAUUUAGAUUUAAAACUAACGAUAGUGGUUCUUGCCUUAGCAAGAAAGUUUUAAAAUAUUUUAGGAUAAAGAAUUUUACUAAGCGCAAGCGGUAGGAGAGCGUUCUAUUUGCGUCGAAGGUAUACCGGCAAGG